This 496-nucleotide ribosomal RNA is filed under the name uncultured bacterium. RNAcentral's name for it is "partial 16S ribosomal RNA". It matches the Rfam family "Bacterial small subunit ribosomal RNA", at positions 29 to 507 of the family's 1533-position model. The record is from RNAcentral.
AUGAACGCUGGCGGCGUGCCUAAUACAUGCAAGUCGAGCGAACAGAUGAGGAGCUUGCUCCUCUGACGUUAGCGGCGGACGGGUGAGUAACACGUGGAUAACCUACCUAUAAGACUGGGAUAACUUCGGGAAACCGGAGCUAAUACCGGAUAAUAUAUUGAACCGCAUGGUUCAAUAGUGAAAGACGGUUUUGCUGUCACUUAUAGAUGGAUCCGCGCCGCAUUAGCUAGUUGGUAAGGUAACGGCUUACCAAGGCAACGAGGCGUAGCCGACCUGAGAGGGUGAUCGGCCACACGGGAACUGAGACACGGUCCAGACUCCUACGGGAGGCAGCAGUAGGGAAUCUUCCGCAGUGGGCGAAAGCCUGACGGAGCAACGCCGCGUGAGUGAUGAAGGUCUUCGGAUCGUAAAACUCUGUUAUGAGGGAAGAACAAAUGUGUAAGUAACUAUGCACGUCUUGACGGUACCUAAUCAGAAAGCCACGGCUAACUACGUG